AGGCUGUACAAAAAGGGAGUACAGGAACUGAAUUAAUGGAAAAAUAAAGUGAAAUUCAGAUAAGUUUUGUAGAAAUUUCAGUCCGAGAAGCUCUGGAUGAGGCUCCAGAGGCAGCAGUUGAAAGGAAUAGUCAGAGAAGCACUGGAAGGACAUCCCACCAGCAAAUAUGGAGAUCUGACCUAGACAAGAGCACCAGAAGAAAGAACUAAGCAGAGAAGGAGUUUGAAGAAGAGAAGUUAGCAAGGCUGGGCCCUGACCCAGGGAAAUGUCUGCCUCCAGGUGAGGAGCUGAGAAAAGUCAUGAAGCUCAGACUGCAGAGUUAUUUCUGACUGUGGGACUACAAAUUCCCAGCCUUAUUUUAACAGCAGCUGCAAUGGGGAGUGUGGUGAGUGGGCAACAGGUGAGGCUCUCUGGGGGAAUGUCCCUGGGCUCUGCUCUGGCCACGCUGCCCAGGGAGGACAAGGACAGGGCAGGGACCUGCCACUCUCUGGGGCAGGCGUGGGGAGCUGUGGAGGCUGUGAACACCCUGGUGUGACUGUUGCCUUCGAUGAGCUGGCAAAGGAAUGAGGAAAACUUGCCAGAGAUUCCUCUUGCUUCUUUUCUUGCACAGCGCUGGGAAAGGACAGUUUUCUGGCUGCUAAGAUAAUUCUCUGCUUGAAAUUUGAAUACCUUUUGCCUUUGACAAAGACAUUAU
This is a long non-coding RNA of Pipra filicauda (Wire-tailed manakin), 694 nucleotides long. RefSeq lists it as uncharacterized. The transcript has 4 exons. The record is from RefSeq and is a predicted model, not a curated record. NCBI's taxonomy places the organism in Eukaryota, Metazoa, Chordata, Aves, Passeriformes, Pipridae.